GUCGUCCGCCUCCUCGCCGGCUCCGUCCUUCUCCGUCCGCCGCUGAUGCCGCCCGCCUCCUCGGCUCCUUCUUUCUAUGGCCUCCGCUGAUGCCACCCUCCUCCUCUCCGGCUCUGUCCAUCUCCCCCAACCUCCCACACGGUGUAGAUGGUGGGGAUGAUGCGGCCUGAGACUUGGAGAGGGCACGCCGGCAGCUCCAGAUCGAUCCGAUGCGGUGGCGCUAGAAAAACUUCAGCAAUUUCUCGACCUACUCCUGCCGUGAGAUCAAUUUGCGGAGGCCAAAAUUCAAGAUCUCGCGAGUGUUGGCACAACCCCAACGCAAUGACGCUGGAUUACUUUCCAGCAAGUUGCAACGAAGGCAGCAGAUCGAGUCGGGUCGCCAAGCAAGCUGCAGAUCAAUUAGUCCAAUUGCAGCCGAUGCAAACCUGCAACACUCGCACCUAAUACACAUGAAGAAAAAUCUAGCUCGAUUUGGUGAAAGAUAGACUAUCAAGUAGCAACAUUCACGAUAACAAUACAGGGUUGUUGGAUGGCCACAUUCACGUACCGUGACAUACACCUGAUUCUUAUGGCUACUAGCUUGUGGUGUUGCUGCUGUCGGCCCGAGGAGGGUGAUAGGUCGAAUAAUACAUUGGUACAUUUUGCCUUUGCUGAUUAGACCUUCAGUUCAUGUUAGCCAUGCUUAUUCUUUCCAGUCAUUUAGUUUACUCGCAUGCCACCUUUUUAAUAUGUGCAUGUGUGUGUAUGUGUUGAUGCAUUUGCUAGGAGCAAAAGGUUUAAUAUUUUCAAUGCGUGGCCAUGAAAUAGAAUUACUUUUCCCUGAAAAAUAUACUAUAUUUGAUAGUUAGCAUUUGUACCAAGUGAUAUUUGUGGUUUUCAAUAUGAGUCAAUGAUAUGAAAAUGCACCCAAUGGUAUUUCCUCAAAUCAACAAUUUCCGCUUGCAAUUUGUGAUUCACAUUUUAUGACCAUUGCUUGCACUUUACAAUUGUUGAAGGAUAACUUUAUCAUAACUGUGAAGCACUGCAGCUACAAUAAUUGCCUUGUUCCUUGGACUUAAGUUGAUUCAAGACAUUUCGUGUACAUCUCAAGGUUUUGAGUGUAUUCCUAAUUAAAUUAAUUUGAUGCAAAACUUUCGUGUACACCUCAAGGUUUUAAGUGUAUUCUGAUAUUUAUGAAAUUAUCAUCAAGUCAAUUAGUUCAUAUGCUUUAUAGUGCACUAUGUUUAAUUUAGCAUCAACAACUAUUUAUCCAAUCAUAUAGAGUUUACAUGUAUUCUUAUUUUGAGGCAUUAUGUUGUUUUUCCAUGAGUUAAUAAAUCUGAAUAUGUUCUGACAUUUGUAGUACUUAUGGGCAAAGAUUUAAUUGGUGCUAACUUUCUUUGUUUGAAUCAUUUGAAGGCAUCUACAAAGUUAUACAAAUUCACCUUCGAUGUAGGUAUGCAACCUAUUUAUGGUUUCUACUGUGUGAGUCUGUGGCUCUAAAAUGUAAUAUUCCGCUUCUGUUUUGUGAUGUGGACGGUUGACGGUUGCGCUCUAAGUUGGCCUUUCAAGUGUGCGAUGCUCCCUGUUGUGCUGAAAGAUCUCUCUCUCCCUCUCUCAUACAUCAGUUUAGCCUGCAAUUUCUUUUUCUCUGAUUGUCUAGGCUCAAGUGUACGAUUGAUUUGGUUUAGCCUCAUGCAUAAUAGCUCAACCAAAAGGGUCAUAUAUUUAGGCAAAAUUGUACAAAAUGAAAUGUAUGCCCGGGAAGUAGCUUUGCAGUGAAAGUGGUCUUAAAAAGCAUCUCUUUAGAAGCAAAGCUAGGUUACAGAGGAAUGUAAUUGUGGGAACUUAUUCUUCAAAAUCCUAUUUUGUUUUAUCAUUUAGGUAUUUGGGUUUUAUACCAGUUUAUUGUGUUACUAUUUCAGAGGUGAUGAAGAAUGUUCCCUUGAAAGCUACAAUGUUUAUGUUUUGGAUGCCAAGCAAAUAAGGGCAAUGAGUGGAUAAUCCACAUCGCUUCAGUGCAAAGAGUGGAAGGCAUGUUAUCUGAGGUUCGGCAUGCUCCUCUUUUCCCCUCAAUUGCAGAAGACACUUCUAAGGAAAUUUGCUAUGUACUUCAGUGGUGACAAAUUUGCUGAACUUGGGCAUUAUUCAGUUCCAUCCCUAUAUUAAGAAAUUCAGCCGAGUCAUGUACAUUUGGAGGGAAACUCACUCGACGUUUUCUUCCCUGAGGACUGAAUGAUGAAUGAUAAAAAUACGCAGAGGUAGUCUCCUUGAGCAGAAUGCCGCUUCUUUCCUUUAUGUUAAGUACGUCCCACCUUCUGCAUAUUUGAGAUUUGAGGUACCUAUUAGCAUUAGAUUUGCAAUUAAUUAAUUCGCUCGGUUUAGAUAGACCUCAUUGGUAGAUAUGUCUAUUGUAACAUUUGGCUAUUCUCAGUUCCGUAAUUUUUAAUCGCCGUUUGAUGUGCACUGAACAGAAGUGGUUUGGGGAUUGUACAUACUCCAGGCAUGUAAGUUUUGCAUACUUUAUCCUUACGAGUGUUGUACAAGUUGAUGUUUUGUGUGUAUGAGUGGUGUCAGCAAAACUAAGUAGAUUUUUACUAGAAGCAUGGUUACAAUUCUUCAUGCCACUUCUUCUCUUGAUCUUCAAGAAAACUGCUAGGGCAUUUUGAUUCAAAAGGUGUUGUUCAAUUCUCUUUGCUUGAGUAGUUGCAUAGUAUAUAAUCACCAAUGCUCAUGUGAGAUUUGGAAAAAUAUCUUUUUUCCCAAGAUAUGGAAACAUAAUUUCUUUACUAGCAAAAAUCACACAUUAAUUUAUUGACUGCUAAUGCAACAUAUCAAUUAGUUUCUUGCCAUUAAAAUCAGAUCAUGGGUCUGUAAUACCAGAAAAUGAUAGUUGUUAAGGUUAGUGAUCUACUUGUUACUGCAAUGUGUGUACACUGUACAGUUCAUGCUUUGAUGAUCAAAUUGAUCUGACUGUUGUUUCCUUAGCUUCUCAUGUUGAUAGCUUUUUCUUGUGCGGACAAACGGCGACUUCUAAUUUACUGAUCUUGUGUAGAGUUGGCACUAAUAGUUACAGAGGUGAAUGAUUCUCACGACUGGUGGUUUAUGGCCUGCCAAAAUUGUUGGAGAAAGACAAGCCCUAAUAAUGGGAACGCUUACAAGUGACCUUAUUGUCCCCGCAUAACAUGAGUGGAGACGUAAACCACUCUAUAGUUUCACAAACUAUCUUACAAAGAUAGAGCAGACUCUGUGAUUUCAUAUAUGGAAAACUAUAAGCAGUAAUGUGAUGUUCUGGUGCA
This is a long non-coding RNA of Lolium rigidum, 3278 nucleotides long. RefSeq lists it as uncharacterized. NCBI's taxonomy places the organism in Eukaryota, Viridiplantae, Streptophyta, Magnoliopsida, Poales, Poaceae. The record is from RefSeq and is a predicted model, not a curated record. The transcript has 4 exons.